UUUAGUAUUCUCUAGGAGAGUCUGUGUUUCGGCCGCAGAAUUUGAGAUAGUUAUUUCUCUACUAAAU
This 67-nucleotide transfer RNA is filed under the name Cotylurus marcogliesei. RNAcentral describes it as "tRNA-Arg". The record is from RNAcentral. Lineage: Eukaryota; Metazoa; Platyhelminthes; Trematoda; Diplostomida; Strigeidae.